This 433-nucleotide ribosomal RNA is filed under the name uncultured bacterium. Its description in RNAcentral is "partial 16S ribosomal RNA". It matches the Rfam family "Bacterial small subunit ribosomal RNA", at positions 29 to 507 of the family's 1533-position model. The record is from RNAcentral.
AACGAACGCUGGCGGCAUGCCUAACACAUGCAAGUCGAACGAGACCUUCGGGUCUAGUGGCGCACGGGUGCGUAACGCGUGGGAACCUGCCCUUAGGUUCGGAAUAACUCCCCGAAAGGGGUGCUAAUACCGGAUAAUGUCUUCGGACCAAAGAUUUAUCGCCUUUGGAUGGGCCCGCGUUGGAUUAGCUAGUUGGUAGGGUAAAAGCCUACCAAGGCGACGAUCCAUAGCUGGUCUGAGAGGAUGAUCAGCCACACUGGGACUGAGACACGGCCCAAACUCCUACGGGAGGCAAGAAGGGGGGAUAAUUGGCAAUGGGCCGAAACCUUAACCAGCAAUGGCGGGGUAGGUGAGGAGGCCUUUGGGGUUGAAAACUCUUUUUCCCGGGAAUGAAAAGGCAAGAACGGGAAGAUAAACUCCGGCUAACUCCGGG